GAUGAACGCUGGCGGCGUGCCUAAUACAUGCAAGUCGAGCGAACAGAUGAGGAGCUUGCUCCUCUGACGUUAGCGGCGGACGGGUGAGUAACACGUGGAUAACCUACCUAUAAGACUGGGAUAACUUCGGGAAACCGGAGCUAAUACCGGAUAAUAUAUUGAACCGCAUGGUUCAAUAGUUAAAGACGGUUUUGCUGUCACUUAUAGAUGGAUCCGCGCCGCAUUAGCUAGUUGGUAAGGUAACGGCUUACCAAGGCAACGAUCCGUAGCCGACCUGAGAGGGUGAUCGGCCACACGGGAACUGAGACACGGUCCAGAGUCCUACGGGAGGCAGCAGUAGGGAAUGUUCCGCAAUGGGCGAAAGCAUGACGGAGCAACGCCGAGUGAGUGAUGAAGGUCUUCGGAUCGUAAAACUCUGUUAUUAGGGAAGAACAAAUGUGUAAGUAACUAUGCACGUCAUGACGGUACCUAAUAAGAAAGCCACGGCUAACUACGUG
Molecule: ribosomal RNA, 497 nt
Filed under: uncultured bacterium
Lineage: Bacteria
Description: partial 16S ribosomal RNA
Rfam family: Bacterial small subunit ribosomal RNA
Source: RNAcentral